UACCAGAGAUGGCUCAAGGGGCACGUUGA
This 29-nucleotide non-coding RNA is filed under the name Rattus norvegicus (Norway rat). Lineage: Eukaryota; Metazoa; Chordata; Mammalia; Rodentia; Muridae. The record is from RNAcentral.